This 378-nucleotide unclassified non-coding RNA is filed under the name uncultured Hydrogenedentota bacterium. Its description in RNAcentral is "uncultured Hydrogenedentes bacterium contains 16S-23S intergenic spacer region". The record is from RNAcentral. Lineage: Bacteria; Pseudomonadati; Candidatus Hydrogenedentota.
UCCGACUUAUCAUCGGCAGUCUCCCUAGAGUUCCCGGCCGAACCGCUGGUAACUAGGGACAAGGGUUGCGCUCGUUGCGGGACUUAACCCAACAUCUCACGACACGAGCUGACGACAGCCAUGCAACACCUGUCUCCAGGUCCCCGAAGGGAAGACCUAUUUUCAUAGGCUGUCCUGGGAUGUCAAGCCUGGGUAAGGUUCUUCGCGUUGCCUCGAAUUGAACCACAUGCUCCACCGCUUGUGCGGGCCCCCGUCAAUUCCUUUGAGUUUCACCCUUGCGAGCGUACUCCCCAGGCGGUGCGCUUAAUGCGUUAGCUGCGGCACAGAAGGGGUCGAUACCUCCUACACCUAGCGCACAACGUUUACGGCGUGGACUAC